This 76-nucleotide transfer RNA is filed under the name subsurface metagenome. RNAcentral describes it as "tRNA-Lys". It matches the Rfam family "tRNA". Rfam says of the family: Transfer RNA (tRNA) molecules are approximately 80 nucleotides in length. Their secondary structure includes four short double-helical elements and three loops (D, anti-codon, and T loops). Further hydrogen bonds mediate the characteristic L-shaped molecular structure. tRNAs have two regions of fundamental functional importance: the anti-codon, which is responsible for specific mRNA codon recognition, and the 3' end, to which the tRNAs corresponding amino acid is attached (by aminoacyl-tRNA synthetases). tRNAs cope with the degeneracy of the genetic code in two manners: having more than one tRNA (with a specific anti-codon) for a particular amino acid; and 'wobble' base-pairing, i.e. permitting non-standard base-pairing at the 3rd anti-codon position. The record is from RNAcentral.
GGGCCGUUAGCUCAGUUGGUAGAGCAGCGGACUUUUAAUCCGCGUGUCGCAGGUUCGAGCCCUGCACGGCUCACCA